AGCCCGCUCCCGGUAAAACGGGACGGCCCGCCAGAGGACCCCUAAACUCUGUUUCUAUAUGUAACUUCUGAGUAAAACCAUAAAUAAAUCAAAACUUUCAACAACGGAUCUCUUGGUUCUGGCAUCGAUGAAGAACGCAGCAAAAUGCGAUAAGUAAUGUGAAUUGCAGAAUUCAGUGAAUCAUCGAAUCUUUGAACGCACAUUGCGCCCGCCAGUAUUCUGGCGGGCAUGCCUGUUCGAGCGUCAUUUCAACCCUCAAGCACAGCUUGGUGUUGGGACUCGCGUUAAUUCGCGUUCCUCAAAUUGAUUGGCGGUCACGUCGAGCUUCCAUAGCGUAGUAGUAAAACCCUCGUUACUGGUAAUCGUCGCGGCCACGCCGUUAAACCCCAACUUCUGAAUGUUGACCUCGGAUCAGGUAGGAAUACCCGCUGAACUUAAGCAUAU
This 444-nucleotide ribosomal RNA is filed under the name Fusarium oxysporum. RNAcentral's name for it is "eukaryotic LSU rRNA". The stretch from base 93 to 246 matches the Rfam family "5.8S ribosomal RNA". Lineage: Eukaryota; Fungi; Ascomycota; Sordariomycetes; Hypocreales; Nectriaceae. The record is from RNAcentral.